AGUGGGGAAUAUUGCACAAUGGACGAAAGUCUGAUGCAGCAACGCCGCGUGGAGGAUGACACAUUUCGGUGCGUAAACUCCUUUUAUAUGAGAAGAUAAUGACGGUAUCAUAUGAAUAAGCACCGGCUAACUCCGUGCCAGCAGCCGCGGUAAUACGGGGGGUGCAAGCGUUACUCGGAAUCACUGGGCGUAAAGAGAAUGUAGGCGGGUAAUUAAGUUGGAAGUGAAAUCCUAUGGCUCAACCAUAGAACUGCUUCCAAAACUGAUUAUCUAGAAUAUGGGAGAGGUAGAUGGAAUUUCUGGUGUAGGGGUAAAAUCCGUAGAGAUCAGAAGGAAUACCGAUUGCGAAGGCGAUCUACUGGAACAUUAUUGACGCUGAGAUUCGAAAGCGUGGGGAGCAAACAGGAUUAGAUACCCUGGUAGUCCACGCCCUAAACGAUGCACACUAGUUGUUGCUAUACUAGAUAUAGCAGUAAUGCAGUUAACACAUUAAGUGUGCCGCCUGGGGAGUACGGUCGCAAGAUUAAAACUCAAAGGAAUAGACGGGGACCCGCACAAGCGGUGGAGCAUGUGGUUUAAUUCGACGAUACGCGAAGAACCUUACCUGGCCUUGACAUAGACAGAAUUUAGUAGAGAUAUAAAAGUGCCAGUUUACUGGAGCUGUUAUACAGGUGCUGCACGGCUGUCGUCAGCUCGUGUCGUGAGAUGUUGGGUUAAGUCCCGCAACGAGCGCAACCCACGUCAUUAGUUACUAACGGUUCGGCCGAGGACUCUAAUGAGACUGCCUGGGUAACCAGGAGGAAGGUGUGGACGACGUCAAGUCAUCAUGGCCCUUACGGCCAGGGCUACACACGUGCUACAAUGGGGUAUACAGAGAGCAGCGAUACCGCGAGGUGGAGCAAAUCUUUAAAAUAUCUCCCAGUUCGGAUAGCACUCUGCAACUCGAGUGCUUGAAGUUGGAAUCGCUAGUAAUCGUAGAUCAGCAAUGCUACGGUGAAUACGU
This 1003-nucleotide ribosomal RNA is filed under the name uncultured bacterium. Its description in RNAcentral is "bacterial SSU rRNA". It matches the Rfam family "Bacterial small subunit ribosomal RNA", at positions 353 to 1371 of the family's 1533-position model. The record is from RNAcentral.